GAGUGUUUCGGCACUUUUAGAAUUUAUCUAGUGGGUUUUCUUAUUUUUACUGGAAACCAGC
Molecule: small nuclear RNA, 61 nt
Filed under: Microcebus murinus (gray mouse lemur)
Lineage: Eukaryota; Metazoa; Chordata; Mammalia; Primates; Cheirogaleidae
Description: U7 small nuclear RNA (ENSMICG00000024537.3)
Rfam family: U7 small nuclear RNA
About the family: Animal histone pre-mRNAs are spliced by a different mechanism than nuclear pre-mRNAs and self-splicing introns. This processing involves the U7 snRNP, which contains only one RNA species: U7.
Source: Rfam by way of RNAcentral